Bactrocera oleae (olive fruit fly) is the source of this 324-nucleotide long non-coding RNA. RefSeq lists it as uncharacterized. The record is from RefSeq and is a predicted model, not a curated record. Lineage: Eukaryota; Metazoa; Arthropoda; Insecta; Diptera; Tephritidae.
GCAAGCACCUACCCAGCAGUAGCAGGAGUAGUACGCAGCAUUUCAGAGCGAAGGCAGACGACAGACGAUUGAGCUGACGCGGUCAGUCGGUGUAUGAGUAUUAUUUAAUAGCGCAUUAAAUUCAUAUUUUUAACGCGCUUGUACAAUACCCAACGCUAGGCGAACAAAGCGAAGCGGCCCGAGUAAGCGGCCGGGAAUUGGCGGACCAGCGGCCGCUGUAUAGACGACGACGGGGCUUGAAAGCUUGAAUGGCACACUGACUGAAUGCUUCAAUGAGCGUGUGACGUGGCGCGCAUGCCUGUGUAUGGAAAUACAAUUCGAAAU